UACGUAGGUGGCAAGCGUUGUCCGGAAUUAUUGGGCGUAAAGCGCGCGCCGGCGGUUCUUUAUGUCGGAUGUGCAAUCCCUGGGCUCCACCCAGGAAAUGCAUCCGAGACUGGAAGGCUAGAGUACUGGAGAGGGUGGUGGAAUUCCUCGUGUAGCGGUGAAAUGCGUAGAGAUGAGGAGGAACACCAGUGGCGAAGGCGGCCACCUGGACAGUAACUGACGCUGAGGCGCGAAAGCGUGGGUAGCAAACAGG
This 253-nucleotide ribosomal RNA is filed under the name uncultured bacterium. RNAcentral describes it as "partial 16S ribosomal RNA". It matches the Rfam family "Bacterial small subunit ribosomal RNA", at positions 524 to 776 of the family's 1533-position model. The record is from RNAcentral.